This 77-nucleotide small RNA is filed under the name Flavobacterium saliperosum. RNAcentral's name for it is "Flavo-1 RNA". It matches the Rfam family "Flavo-1 RNA". The record is from RNAcentral. Lineage: Bacteria; Pseudomonadati; Bacteroidota; Flavobacteriia; Flavobacteriales; Flavobacteriaceae.
UCUUAGCCCCGAUGGGAGCGGCAUCCUUUUAUGGAGCAACAGCGGAAUAAAAGAUAGAGCGGACAGCGGGAUAAGGC